UGUGUGUGUGUAUAUAUAUGUGUGUAUGUAUAUAUAUAUAUAUAUAUAUAUAUAUACACACACACACC
RNAcentral lists this microRNA precursor (68 nucleotides) under Podarcis lilfordi (Lilford's wall lizard). The record is from RNAcentral. Lineage: Eukaryota; Metazoa; Chordata; Lepidosauria; Squamata; Lacertidae.